Molecule: long non-coding RNA, 4434 nt
Filed under: Eucalyptus grandis
Lineage: Eukaryota; Viridiplantae; Streptophyta; Magnoliopsida; Myrtales; Myrtaceae
Description: long non-coding RNA (EGRA_LNC003142)
Source: RNAcentral
CCUGCUGAUAAUUUUUAAUGCUUGAAUAUACUUUCAAGAGUUGCUAACAGCUGAACAACAUGAUGCCUCAUACUUGGAAGCCUAAAUUAUCUUGUUCAUGCUUUAGAUUUCUACUCAACCUGUAAGUAUCGUCUAUCUUUCAGUAAAGAGUCCCUAAAAAUCUAUGUAGUUCAGAUGUUGAAAGUUGUGAGGCAAAUUUGUUGCAAAAUUUUUAAACAUCAUCGCAUGAGUCAUGCGUCAUUUUUGUUCUCGACUGCUUAAGGCCUGCUUAGUUUUAGAAAACAGCUUUAGUUUCCAUUUUCAUAGAAAUUGUUUUCGAUGUUUUGUUGACAAAAUAUUUGUUCAGUGAAAAUAAUGUCAUUAGGGAUGAAAUUGUGAGAAUAUGCUUGGGUUACAUCACAUUCCAAAAACAGGCUUAUUUAUUCCAAAUCUCCAUGUUUGCAUUUGGAAUGGGAAUAAAAAAAAGUCAUCUUUAGUUUUUAAUUUUGAUUCUGAGAAUAGUUUUCCUUUUAUUCGUCGACUGCUUUUGGAGUGUUACCAAACGCAUUUUCUGGUCUGUUUUAAUUCUCAAAUUGAAAUCAGAACAGACUUUUGAGAAUCUUUAUCAGCCGAAUGCCUCCUUAGAUUAUCAAUCUCUUUCUGUCUGUAGAAAAAAUGGACUUCAUCAAGUUGCUUAACAGGCUUUGAACAUUGAAGAUUACUUCAUUCAUCCAGGCAUCAUUAUAUGUAAUGCAUAAGCAGUGGGUUGAUGCCACUAACAUAUUUCGCGAGGAAGUUUGAUUUGCUGUCAAACCUUGUUAGUGACCAUGGCAAGUGAUACUGUUAAUUCAGAGUGGUAGAUGGCGUUUCUUUUUUCUUCAUUUAACUAUUUUCGUUUGCUUAUCUAGGUCUUGACUCUUUCCCUUAGGAGGAAUUUUCCAAUCUAUCAGUUUCGUGUUAAUUCUCUGGAUGAAGUGGUAUGGCUAAUUUUUUAAGCUCUGGUGCUGCUAUAGGACCUUGGCCUUUUUGGUUGGUUUUUAUGAUCUUAGUCUGCUAGUUUGUCCAGUGAUAGUGUAUGAAGUGUGUAUCACAAGUUGUUUGUGGUGCUGGAAAAGAACUUCUGUUGGUUGUCCUCAAUCAUCUGUGGGUGUGCAUUAUUAUCUUUGCAUCUGGCCUUUUUCCUUCAUGCAUCUCAGUGAAUCUUGGAGGUGAUCGGAUAGAGAUAGGAAUUUGCUACGGGAAAUUAUUCUUCUGCACAUCUUGAGACAAGCCAUAUUUUUCAAAACAUCCUGAUGUUGAUUCUUCAUACAAUCAUAUUGUAUGCAAUGAUAUGAAUUAUUAAUAUUAAGUGACUGGAAAGGAUCAAGUAAAAUCUGAUUUGAGUCUGAUUCAAUAAGUUGGCAAUAUCUCCUAUAAGCGUAUAAUGGAAAUUGUAGGUCAUUAAUCAUUGGUUUGAACUUGAACUUGAACUUGAUCUAAGUCUGAGCUUUGAGUGUACUUCACAUGGAGAUUUGGAUGUAGAAUGUUUAUACGUUCACAUUAUAAUUAGCAGGUGUAGAGAUAUGUUCUCAAUUUAAAAGGAAAGAGUUUAUUGCCCACUUCGAUCUUAGCAUAUAUCCCCUUACAAUUGCGAGAGUCAAUUUUUGUACCAAAUAAUCAUAUUCAAAGCUUUGUACCCAUCGAUAUUACUAUUAGAGCCUGGGGGAAGUUAGACUUAUUUAUAUUGCCAAAUUCCACCCAUUGAACUCAGUGUAGUUAGUAAAACUCUUCUUUCCUGUGUUAUGUUUAUGGUCAACAAGCUAAGGAUGAGAAUGAAAACUCAGAUCUUCAAAGAAAUGAGCAGAAAACUAACUGGUGGGUGCUUGGAUGACAGUGAAUCGAGCCUACAUGGAUCUAAUCUGUGAUGCUUAACCAUGGUUAUGAGCCUCUAUUCUUAAUUAUUUGUUUAGUACUUAGAUGUGAGAAUUGAUUAUUUUGUAUUAUUAUUUUUACCUUUAGAUCACGAUUUUUGAUAUACCACCUCUUUUUUGGCGGACCAAUGCUGAGUAUGUCAACUCCUAGUAUUGAAAUUGGUUUUACUAAGUUGCAUGUCAGAUAGAUUCAUAUUAGGUGUUUGAGACCUACUAAUGCAUUAUACUAGUAUUUUUCCUCUUCAAAUCAGUUUUGUAUGCUACUCUCAGUCCCUAGUAUUGCUUCUUUUCUAGUAGUGUGUUGGUAGCUCUUUGGAUCCAACGUUUCUUUUGAACUUUUUCGAUCUUGACUUUUAGUAGUAGCGGCACCCUUUUGUCAUGGUGACGUUACUCGCAAAAAAGUGAGACGUUGAUGUCGGUAGUUGAAAUUAUAUGAUGAGAUAACAUGUGUUGGAAUGAAGGGCAAUUGGAAUAACUUAAAAUCCUCAAAAAAGUGUGAAGUUUCUUUUUAUAGAUUAUAUAGUUCACCUGUAGGGCACCUAUGGGGUGCAACCCAUAUACCAAAGGAGCCCGAAAAACUAAAGCCAUAUACAAAACAACUCCCAAAGCCAAAAGGGAGCUCAAAUACCGGGUCAAUCAUCGACUAAUCAACCAGGGCAUUUACAUCCAUAUGCAAGUCUGCACUAUACCAAAAGUGUGUGACUUUAAGCCAAAUUUCCAUAAAAUGGAACAAACGAUUUCUCUCCAUCAGAAGCUCUCUUGUUCCACGCCUUCCAAAUCAGCCAAAAGAAACAGGGGAAUUGAGUUAAUCCCACUUGUUGUGCUGUAAAUGAAUGCCCUGCCAUGCCCAAAGUUCUUGCUCAAUAAAACCUCUGAAAACCCAAGAUAACAUGGCACAAGCAUAGGAAACUGUCCAAACCAUUCUUUCCAAGAACAAUGAAGGAGGGGAUGCUGUGCGGACUCUGCCUCCUUUUGAUGAGGAAACACCUAUUAACCAGUAUUUUGUCUCAUUUAUAAAGUAAGGAUUUGUUCCCAGGUUGCUUCCCAAGCAAAAAGAGACUCUAAUUGGAAUUCUCACUUUCCAAAUCGAUUUCUGAGGAAAAUCUGUUUUGCCAUGAGUCUCCCUAUUGAGCAGCUUUUCCCCCCUUCAAAUCUGGUCCUCGUUGCUAAUAUGUGCACCAAAUGUGAAAUUCUAGAUCUGUGUGUAACAGGAGUUUGAGUAUGAUACCUGGGCUCAAAAUUGGUUUUAUGUAAAUAUUGCAAUCCUUUAAUUAAAAGUUUGUGCUUUUGGUUUUACCUGACUCAUCAAUUAUUUGAGCUGAAAUAUUCAUUUCUCGUUUAGCUAAUUCAGGACUUCUAUUAAUGGGUUUGUAGAUAUUUCUAUCCAAAUGCCUAUUACCAUAAAGUUGUCCUAUAUUUUUCAUUUCCUUGUCUUAGUGGCCAGAACCUUGAGACUAUAAUGAGAGAAGGAGAGAAAGAAAAGGAAACCCUUGGGGGUUGGGGGUUGUCUUCUAGAGGUUGUCCUUAACAAUGGUUUUUCACUUACCCUUUGUCUACUAAUCUAGUUUUUCGUAUUUGAUGUUUGAUUACUGUGAGAUUUUGUGGGACCACUACCAACUGUUCUAAAAGCUUAAGAUGAUAGAUGAAUGCGUGGUUUAUUAUUUAAAUAUUCUAACAAUUACUUAACAAUGUACAUGGAAGCUUUAGUUGGGCGAUUUUAUUUGCGCUUUGUGUUUAACUUAUGAUCCUUGUGUACGGAAAUACUGUAUCUCAUGUUUCCUGAUUAGAAACUAAUUUGAUAAUCACAUUUUCAAGGAAGCUGCCCAUAUGCCUUCUCUUCUAUUUUGAAAAAUGAUACUUUGUAAGAAUUUAUUGCUACAAUUCCCUCUUAUGUUAGUUUUAGCAUCCACCAAAUAUAUUCCCAAUUCACUGUCCUUCUAUAGGGUAUAUACCUUUAAUCUGAAACUACAAAUAUUAUCCAUAGAUCCACAUGUGCAGAGUCCAACUGUUUUGUCAUGCUAAUAAUUACUCUGUAUGGUAUUGCAGGAUGACUUCGAAUUUGCUUCAAAUUAUAUUUCCUUCCAAAUACAUGAAGAGUCUUUUUUAGAUGUAACAAAUCGUAUAGUGGUAGUGAGUGGACUUAUGAAUGAUUCAAGCAAUGUGAAGAAGGGAAGAUCUUUGGAAGGAUCUUGUUGUGCAUCCCUCUUGGUCACUGUUGCGUGGAUUAGACUCUAUCUUGGGUAAAAAAAGCUUUGUAUAUCAUAUUCCGUGGUCCAAAUUUGCAAGUAUGACUAAUAUGUUCUGUUGGAAGCAGGAAUAUCAAAUUAUUAUGUUGCUAAAUAAGAUGAAUGACACAGGUGAAAACUUGGGAGAUGCCGAGAUGACAAUCCUGCAGGCUAGUGACCUUCCAUUUGUGCAUAUUGCAGGAACCACGUGUGCAAAUAACUGGGAUAUGUACCAGUUGAAGGUAACUUAUGGAUCCGGAGCUUGCAUAUUGAUUUCUUACUCAUGAUAUCUAGAGUUCUAUUCCAAUCAUGUCAAUUCA